Molecule: long non-coding RNA, 468 nt
Organism: Papaver somniferum (opium poppy)
Lineage: Eukaryota; Viridiplantae; Streptophyta; Magnoliopsida; Ranunculales; Papaveraceae
Exons: 3
Source: RefSeq, a predicted model, not a curated record
UCAAAUUCUCCCUCACUCCAAUGGGACAAAAUGGAAAAUAAUCUAGCUUUUUACUCUAAUGACAUUAGGGUUUUAUUGUUGUUUGCUGGCAUGAAAAGCUGUGGAAUGGAGAAUCAUUAGAUGGUGACAAGAUCUAAAGCUCGGAAAACUUUAAAGCCGGAUAUAUGGAAUCCAGCAGAGACCGUCUGGACUUCAACCAGCUUUAGUAGAAUCAACUUCUAAAGUUUGCACCAAAGAAAACAGAAAACAAUCAGGAAAACUAUUAUCGGAAGUUGGAGCAAUGUGCUGAAGCUCCGUUCUCCAUGCUUUUCUCCUGCAUUCCCCCCUGGGUCUGACCGUCCAUGUUUUCGUGUCUGAUUGAUCUUUGGUGCUUGUUUUUUCCUCUCUGUACCACAUGGAUUGUUUGUCCAUGUUCUAUGCUUGUACUUGUAACUGAUCCAAUCAAAUAAUUAGUAUUUAUGAGAAUUC